Molecule: ribosomal RNA, 496 nt
Filed under: uncultured bacterium
Lineage: Bacteria
Description: partial 16S ribosomal RNA
Rfam family: Bacterial small subunit ribosomal RNA
Source: RNAcentral
GAUGAACGCUGGCGGCGUGCCUAAUACAUGCAAGUCGAGCGAACAGACGAGGAGCUUGCUCCUCUGACGUUAGCGGCGGACGGGUGAGUAACACGUGGAUAACCUACCUAUAAGACUGGGAUAACUUCGGGAAACCGGAGCUAAUACCGGAUAAUAUAUUGACCCGCAGGGUUCAAUAGUGAAAGACGGUUUUGCUGUCACUUAUAGAUGGAUCCGCGCCGCAUUAGCUAGUUGGUAAGGUAACGGCUUACCAAGGCAACGAUGCGUAGCCGACCUGAGAGGGUGAUCGGCCACACUGGAACUGAGACACGGUCCAGACUCCUACGGGAGGCAGCAGUAGGGAAUCUUCCGCAAUGGGCGAAAGCUUGACGGAGCAACGCCGCGUGAGUGAUGAAGGUCUUCGGAUCGUAAAACUCUGUUAUUAGGGAAGAACAAAUGUGUAAGUAACUAUGCACGUCUUGACGGUACCUAAUCAGAAAGCCACGGCUAACUACGU